Molecule: long non-coding RNA, 467 nt
Organism: Labrus mixtus (cuckoo wrasse)
Lineage: Eukaryota; Metazoa; Chordata; Actinopteri; Labriformes; Labridae
Exons: 2
Source: RefSeq, a predicted model, not a curated record
UGCAAGGGUACGCCUCAUCCAAUUUAAGAUUAUACAACACUUUUACAUGGACACCCUCCAGAGUGCAUAGACUGGGACUAAAGGCCACAUCAAAUUGUUGGCGAUGCAAAUCUGAGGAAGGUCACUUAGUUCACGUAUUGUGGUCCUGUGACAAAGUUCAACAAUUCUGGACAUGGAUAUAUAAUAAUAUAUGUGACAUUGCAGAGACCCAAAUUCCUUUUACCCCCAGAUUAUUUAUUCUAGGUGACCGAUCAGUUCUGUCGGGAGGGGAUAAACACAUUAAAAGUCGGGUCCAAACUAGCAUUACGAUAGGCAGGCAGAUUCUUCUCAGGAGGGUGGUGACACUUUGUUUUGUUUUUUGAUUGUUUUUUGAUUUUCUUGUAUGUUUGGUGGGCAUUGUAUGCCUAUUUUGUCAUGUCAUGUUUUGAAAAAAAAAAAAAAAAAAAAAUUGUUAAUCACAAAAACAA